RNAcentral lists this ribosomal RNA (330 nucleotides) under uncultured eukaryote. Its description in RNAcentral is "partial 18S ribosomal RNA". It matches the Rfam family "Eukaryotic small subunit ribosomal RNA", at positions 1470 to 1796 of the family's 1831-position model. The record is from RNAcentral.
CCCUUAGAUGUUCUGGGCCGCACGCGCGCUACACUGAUGCAUUCAACGAGUCUAAAACCUGGUCUGAUAGGGCUGGGUAAUCUUUUGAAUGUGCAUCGUGAUUGGGAUAGAUGAUUGCAAUUCUUCAUCUUCAACGAGGAAUGCCUAGUAAACGCAAGUCAUCAGCUUGCAUUGAUUACGUCCCUUCCCUUUGUACACACCGCCCGUCGCUCCUACCGAUUGAAUGUUCCGAUGAAUACCAUGGACUGAGAGUAUGAAUGGGUUCGCCUAUUUCUGCUUCUCGGGAAGUGGAGUAAAUCUUAACAUUUAGAGGAAGGAGAAGUCGUAACA